UACGGAGGGGGCUAGCGUUGUUCGGAAUUACUGGGCGUAAAGCGCGCGUAGGCGGACUUUUAAGUCGGGGGUGAAAUCCCGGGGCUCAACCCCGGAACUGCCUUCGAUACUGGAAGUCUGGAGUUCGAGAGAGGUGAGUGGAAUUCCGAGUGUAGAGGUGAAAUUCGUAGAUAUUCGGAGGAACACCAGUGGCGAAGGCGGCUCACUGGCUCGAUACUGACGCUGAGGUGCGAAAGCGUGGGGAGCAAACAGG
RNAcentral lists this ribosomal RNA (253 nucleotides) under uncultured bacterium. RNAcentral's name for it is "partial 16S ribosomal RNA". It matches the Rfam family "Bacterial small subunit ribosomal RNA", at positions 524 to 776 of the family's 1533-position model. The record is from RNAcentral.